Molecule: ribosomal RNA, 651 nt
Filed under: uncultured Basidiomycota
Lineage: Eukaryota; Fungi; Basidiomycota
Description: LSU rRNA
Rfam family: Eukaryotic large subunit ribosomal RNA
Source: RNAcentral
CCUCAAAUCAGGUAGGACUACCCGCUGAACUUAAGCAUAUCAAUAAGCGGAGGAAAAGAAACUAACGAGGAUUCCCCUAGUAACUGCGAGUGAAGCGGGAAAAGCUCAAAUUUAAAAUCUGGCAGUCUUUGGCUGUCCGAGUUGUAAUCUAGAGAAGUGCUAUCCGCGCUGGACCGUGUAUAAGUCUCCUGGAACGGAGCGUCGUAGAGGGUGAGAAUCCCGUCUUUGACACGGACUACCAGGGCUUUGUGAUGUGCUCUCAAAGAGUCGAGUUGUUUGGGAAUGCAGCUCAAAAUGGGUGGUAAAUUCCAUCUAAAGCUAAAUACAGGCGAGAGACCGAUAGCGAACAAGUACCGUGAGGGAAAGAUGAAAAGAACUUUGGAAAGAGAGUUAAACAGUACGUGAAAUUGUUGAAAGGGAAACGCUUGAAGUCAGUCGCGUCCUUCAAAGAUCAACCUGGCCUUUUCGCUUGGUGCACUCUUUGGAGGACGGGUCAGCAUCAGUUUCGACCGGGAGAAAAAGUUGGUGGGGAGGUGGCACCUUCGGGUGUGUUAUAACCUGCUUGCAUAUAUCCUGGUUGGGACUGAGGAACGCGGCACGCCGAAAGGCCGGACUUUGUAACCACGUACGUGCUUAGGAUGCUGGCAUAAU